UAAAUUUCACAAUAUUUUCUGG
This 22-nucleotide microRNA is filed under the name Hydra vulgaris (swiftwater hydra). RNAcentral's name for it is "Hvu-Novel-2_3p (mature (guide))". The record is from RNAcentral. Lineage: Eukaryota; Metazoa; Cnidaria; Hydrozoa; Anthoathecata; Hydridae.